UCUUGGUCCCUAACCAUGGAAAAUUCCCACGAACUAUAAACCUGGAGCUAUGCUGUAGUCGGUAGGCCUAAGGGGUAGCUCCAUUCGAUAGGGGAGGUAGCUAUCGUUCCUAUGAAAUAGCUCAUACGGUCCCCCUACCGCCCCUACCAUCAAAAGCUGAUGCUAUAAUUAAACAGUAUCGCAUUAUAGCAAGAUUGCAGCAUCCCGUCCAAACGCGGUUAUUUUCUUUCUAUAAAAACACCAUGACUCCACAUCGCACCGCACGUAGCUUCAACGGCAGCUUCAACCACCUUAAAAUCCUUAACGGCCUCGACCAAAUGGAGAAUUUACAGUUAGGUAUGAAUAACAAUGCUGUCAUCCAAAAAAAAAAUAGGGGCGUUGCCGUCGUCGGUCCUCUUCGACGCAAAUUUUAUGUAAGUAGAGUAAGCGCUUUAAUUGUAAUAAUAAACUUCAAAUCACUAUUUCCGCUGUAAAUAAAAACACCCUACAUUUUGUUUGUUGUUUUUUCCCUGCCCACUCCUGUUCUGGUUAUAGGGAACCUACCUCCGAUAUGGAAUUAUAGGUAAGAAUGAGGGUCCUCGCACCUGUCUCCUGAAAUUACAAUUUCCUACCCUAGUCGCAUCAAUCUAAUAGAGGGAGUCGGAUGAAAAUAUACCUCUAUAUGCAUUACGACGCCAAUAGAUGGCGCCUCCGUAUCAAAUCGCUAUUUCAGCUCUAAAUAAAAACGCUCUACAUUUUGUUUUUGUUGUUUUAUUUCCCUCCCCGCCCCUGUUCUGGUUGUAGGUUAGAAUGGGGCCCCCUUGUGUAUGUCUCUCAAAUGGGGGAGCUACCUCCGAGAUGGAAUGAUAGGUUAGAAUUCUCCUCCCUUGCAUCUCUCUCCUGAACCACUGGAUAGUUCACAUGUUUGCUAUCUAAAUGUACAUUAUAAACGGCCGACUUUAUUCGUAACUUUCUAACGCAAGAAGUCAAAAUUGCAGUUUCCUAUACGUUAGAUGCGUAUCAUUUUGCCGCCACCAAAUAGCCCCUAGCCCCUAUCGGGUUUUUUCCCUGCCCACUCCUGUUCUAGUUAUAGGGAACCUACCUCCGAGAUGGAAUUAUAGGUUAGAAUGAGGGUCCUCGCACCUGUCUCCUGAAAUUACAAUUUCCUACCCUAUACCUAUAUGUCACAUCAAUCUAAUAGAGGGAGUCGAUUGAAAAUAUACCUCUAUAUGCAUUACGACGCCAAUAGAUGGCACCUCCGUACCAUUUAAUAUAUCUAUGAUUUAAUAAUAUUUAGAGGUUCGUUAUAAAUACAACUAUCGAAGCAUUAUAUCAUACAAGUCUAGUUAGCCUAGUGGUUAUGCUAUAGGACUUGUAAUCCGAUGGUUGGCGGUUCGAAUCCGUUCCAUUUAAAAA
Photinus pyralis (common eastern firefly) is the source of this 1395-nucleotide long non-coding RNA. RefSeq lists it as uncharacterized. The record is from RefSeq and is a predicted model, not a curated record. Lineage: Eukaryota; Metazoa; Arthropoda; Insecta; Coleoptera; Lampyridae. The transcript has 2 exons.